RNAcentral lists this ribosomal RNA (484 nucleotides) under uncultured bacterium. Its description in RNAcentral is "partial 16S ribosomal RNA". It matches the Rfam family "Bacterial small subunit ribosomal RNA", at positions 30 to 507 of the family's 1533-position model. The record is from RNAcentral.
AUUGAACGCUGGCGGCGUGCUUUACACAUGCAAGUCGAACGACAACACGAGCUUCUUCCUGGCCUCACGUUGCGGACGGGUGAGUAAUACAUCGGAACGUGCCCAAUAUUUGAGAAUGGCUCAACUAAAGCCAGAUUAAUACCACAUACGACCUUAUAUUGAAAGCCAUGGUUCUUCAGACCUCGCGCUUUUUGCUCUGCCUAUUGCAGAUUAGCUAGUUGGUUUGGUAAAGGCCUACCAAGGCGACGAUCUGUAGCUGGUCUGAGAGGACGACCAGCCACACUGGGACUGAGACACGGCCCAGACUCCUACGGGAGGCAGCAGUGGGGAAUUUUCGGCAAUGGGCGAAAGCCUGACGGAGCAACGCCGCGUGUGUGAUGAAGGUCUUCGGGUUGUAAAGCACUUUUGGCGGGAAAGAAAAGGACUGUGAGAAUACAACGGUUUGAUGACGGUACCCGAAGAAUAAGCAACGGCUAACUACGUG